CACCAGGUUGAUUCUGCCUGACGUAGACGCUAUACUCUAAGAUUAACCCAUGCAUGUUUAUUGAAUAUAAAGAAAAGACGAACAGCUCAGUAACUCUUAUUUGAUUUGAUGUAUUAGGAUUCUAGCUAUGUUAAAUUAUAGGUAACAAUAAUACAAUAAGAAUAAGAUCUAUCAGUUAGUUGUUAAGGUAAUGGCUUAACAAGACUAUGACGGAUAACGGUAUUACUUUGUAAUAUUCCGGAGAAGGAGCCUGAGAGAUUGCUACUAAGUCUAAGGAUUGCAGCAGGGGCGAUACUUGUACCUAUGAUAUUAUAUUGAGGCAGUUAUGAGUAGUAUUUUAUAAUUAUUGUAGUAUUGUAAGUACUAUAUUACCAAGAUAAAUUCGGAGGGCAAAUCGAGUGCCAGUACUCUAGAGAUCCCCGGUACCGGCUCGA
RNAcentral lists this non-coding RNA (434 nucleotides) under Nosema bombycis CQ1. RNAcentral's name for it is "Microsporidia small subunit ribosomal RNA". It matches the Rfam family "Microsporidia small subunit ribosomal RNA", at positions 1 to 419 of the family's 1311-position model. Lineage: Eukaryota; Fungi; Microsporidia; Nosematidae. The record is from Rfam by way of RNAcentral.